This 118-nucleotide ribosomal RNA is filed under the name agricultural soil bacterium CRS5656T18-2. Its description in RNAcentral is "partial 16S ribosomal RNA". It matches the Rfam family "Bacterial small subunit ribosomal RNA", at positions 372 to 507 of the family's 1533-position model. The record is from RNAcentral.
UGGGCGAAAGCCUGAUCCAGCAAUGCCACGUGAGUGAUGAAGGCCUUAGGGUUGUAAAGCUCUUUUACCCGGGAUGAUAAUGACAAUACCGGGAGAAUAAGCCCCGGCUAACUCCGUG